UUUUGGUUUUUAUCGAGUAGCAAGCUAUGAAAGGCACAAAAAAAACACUAGUGUAAAACUAUUUGAACAGGAAAAAUAAAGGUCUAAUGUAAAAAACAUGAAACCAGAAACACGUAUGAACAAUUCAACAAACGACAACUACUGAACGACAGAUUCCUGACUAAGGACAGGUGCAAACAAAUGCAGUUAGUUUAACGUUUAUAUACGUACCAUAGACUCAAUAUAAAAUAUAAACACGAUUUUGACACAAUAUUGUUAGCAUUGUUAUGUGAACAAUUUAAACAGAAAGGUAUUUAUAAAAAAAGAAGUGGUAUGAUUGCAAAUAAGUAAAAUUUCCAGUACAUACAUACUAACUGGC
This 358-nucleotide long non-coding RNA is filed under the name Mytilus galloprovincialis (Mediterranean mussel). The record is from RNAcentral. Lineage: Eukaryota; Metazoa; Mollusca; Bivalvia; Mytilida; Mytilidae.